RNAcentral lists this ribosomal RNA (355 nucleotides) under uncultured bacterium. RNAcentral's name for it is "bacterial SSU rRNA". It matches the Rfam family "Bacterial small subunit ribosomal RNA", at positions 69 to 422 of the family's 1533-position model. The record is from RNAcentral.
CUCUUGGGGCUUCGGUUCCAAGGGAGUGGCGCACGGGUGAGUAGCGCGUGGGAACCUGCCCCGUUGUGGGGGAUAACCGAGGGAAACUUCGGCUAAUACCGCAUACGCCCGGCGGACCUCGAAAGGGGGAAACCGGGGAAAGAUUUAUCGCAGCAGGAGGGGCCCGCGUCGGAUUAGGUAGUUGGUGGGGUAACGGCCUACCAAGCCUUUGAUCCGUAGCUGGUCUGAGAGGAUGAUCAGCCACACUGGGACUGAGACACGGCCCAGACUCCUACGGGAGGCAGCAGUGGGGAAUAUUGGACAAUGGGCGCAAGCCUGAUCCAGCAAUGCCGCGUGAGUGAUGAAGGCCUUCGGG